This 498-nucleotide ribosomal RNA is filed under the name uncultured bacterium. Its description in RNAcentral is "bacterial SSU rRNA". It matches the Rfam family "Bacterial small subunit ribosomal RNA", at positions 30 to 521 of the family's 1533-position model. The record is from RNAcentral.
AUUGAACGCUGGCGGCAUGCCUUACACAUGCAAGUCGAACGGUAACAGGCCGCAAGGUGCUGACGAGUGGCGAACGGGUGAGUAAUGCAUCGGAACGUGCCCAGUCGUGGGGGAUAACUGCUCGAAAGAGCAGCUAAUACCGCAUACGACCUGAGGGUGAAAGCGGGGGACCGUAAGGCCUCGCGCGAUUGGAGCGGCCGAUGUCAGAUUAGGUAGUUGGUGAGGUAAAGGCUCACCAAGCCGACGAUCUGUAGCUGGUCUGAGAGGACGACCAGCCACACUGGAACUGAGACACGGUCCAGACUCCUACGGGAGGCAGCAGUAGGGAAUAUUGGACAAUGGGGGCGAACCCUCGAUCCAGCCAUGCCGCGUGAGUGAAGAAGGCCCUCGGGUUGUAAAGCUCUUUUGUCCGGAAAGAAAAGCAUCUGGUUAAUACCCGGGUGUUCUGACGGUACCGGAAGAAUAAGCACCGGCUAACUUCGUGCCAGCAGCCGCGGU